Molecule: long non-coding RNA, 2328 nt
Organism: Carassius auratus (goldfish)
Lineage: Eukaryota; Metazoa; Chordata; Actinopteri; Cypriniformes; Cyprinidae
Source: Ensembl
AUGCCUAGAUCCAGCGGUGUGGGAUUUCGAAUCGGUUCCCCAGCCACCAUGGAGGAACGGAGGGGGAGAUUCCAGAACUUAAUCACCCUUCAUCAAGAGGGAAGUGAGGUGGGUGGCCUGGCGCAAUUGUUUUGGACUAUGGCAGUCGGGCUAGGUUACAAUGAUGCAGCACUAAAGGAUUUAUUUAAUAAUUGCCUGGAUGAUCCUUUACCUCCAUGGGAGAUGAAGGGGUUAGAGAUACUGGACUUUUGGGGGUUUACCAAUUACCUGCACCAUCGUGCCCAGUGGGAUGCAACAACCACACCAGAGUGUCCAGACAAGGCUGCCAGCUCAGCCCCACAGCACAAGAUGGGCGCCAGCCCAACCCCACAGCACAGGAUGGCCGCCAACCCAGCCCCACAACCCAAGAUGGCCACCAGCCCAGCCCCACAGCCCAAGAUGGCCGCCAACCUAGCGUCACAGCCCAAGAUGGCCGCCAGCCCAGCACCACAGCACAAGAUGGCCGACUCAACGCCACCGACUCCCCAUCGUAGAGGGCGGAGGAGGAGACAGGCAGCUGCUGUUCCCGAGGCGGAGCCCGAGGCAGUUCCCGAGGCGGUGCCCGAUGCUGUUUCCGAGGCGGUGCCCGAUGCAGUUCCCGAGGCGGAGCCCGAUGCAGUUCCCGAGGCGGUGCCCGAUGCAGUUCCCGAGGCGGUGCCCGAUGCUGUUUCCGAGGCGGUGCCCGAUGCAGUUCCCGAGGCGGUGCCCGAUGCUGUCUCCGAGGCGGUGCCCGAUGCUGUUCCCGAGGCCGAGGCGGUGCCCGAUGCUGUUCCCGAGGCCGAGGUCGUUCUCGGGGCGGUGCCCGAUGCUGUUCCCGAGGCGGAGCCCGAUGCAGUUCCCGAGGCGGUGCCCGAUGCUGUCUCCGAGGCGGUGCCCGAUGCUGUUCCCGAGGCCGAGGCGGUGCCCGAUGCUGUUCCCGAGGCCGAGGCAGUUCCCGAGGCGGAGCCCGAUGCAGUUCCCGAGGCGAAGCCCGAUGCAGUUCCCGAUGCAGUUCCCGAGGCGGUGCCCGAUGCAGUUCCCGAGGCGGUGCCCGAUGCAGUUCCCGAGGCGGAGCCCGAUGCAGUUCCCGAGGCGGUGCCCGAUGCAGUUCCCGAGGCGGUGCCCGAUGCUGUUUCCGAGGCGGUGCCCGAUGCAGUUCCCGAGGCGGUGCCCGAUGCAGUUCCCGAGGCGAAGCCCGAUGCAGUUCCCGAUGCAGUUCCCGAGGCGGUGCCCGAUGCUGUUUCCGAGGCGGUGCCCUAUGCAGUUCCCGAGGCGGAGCCCGAUGCAGUUCCCGAGGCGGUGCUCGAUGCAGUUCCCGAGGCGGUGCUCGAUGCAGUUCCCGAGGCGGUGCCCGAUGCAGUUCCCGAGGCGGUGCCCGAUGCAGUUCCCGAGGCGGUGCCCGAUGCUGUUCCCGAGGCGGUGCCCGAUGCAGUUCCCGAGGCGGUGCCCGAUGCAGUUCCCGAGGCGGUGCCCGAUGCUGUUCCCGAGGCGGAGCCCGAUGCAGUUCCCGAGGCGGUGCCCGAUGCUGUUUCCGAGGCGGUGCUCGAUGCAGUUCCCGAGGCGGUGCCCGAUGCAGUUCCCGAGGCGGUGCCCGAUGCAGUUCCCGAGGCGGUGCCCGAUGCUGUUCCCGAGGCGGAGCCCGAUGCUGUUCCCGAGGCGGUGCCCGAUGCUGUUCCCGAGGCCGAGGUCGUUCCCGAGGCGGUGCCCGAUGCUGUUCCCGAGGCGGAGCCCGAUGCAGUUCCCGAGGCGGUGCCCGAUGCUGUUCCCGAGGCGGUGCCCGAUGCUGUUCCCGAGGCGGUGCCCGAUGCUGUUCCCGAGGCGGUGCCCGAUGCUGUUCCCGAGGCGGUGCCCGAUGCUGUUCCCGAGGCGGUGCCCGAUGCUGUUCCCGAGGCGGUGCCCGAUGCAGUUCCCGAGGCGGUGCCCGAUGCAGUUCCCGAGGCGGUGUCCGUUACAGUUCCCGAGGCGGUGACCACAAGGCCGUGGUGGUCUUCGGCUCCGCCCUGGGAGACUCUGGCGGUGACCACGAGGACGUGGUGGUCAUCCGUUCCGCCCUGGGGGACUCUGGCGGUGACCACGAGGACGUGGUGGUCGUCCGCUCCACCCUGGGGGACUCUGGUGAUGACCAUGAGGACAUGGUGGUCUUCUGCUCCGCCCUGGUGGACUCCGGCCUCGACCACAGAGACGUGGUGGUCUUCCGCUCCGCCCUGGAGGAUUUUGACUUUGACCACAAGGCCAUGGUGGUCUUCCGCUCCGCCCUGGAGGGCUCUGGCCUUGACCACACGGCUGUGGUGGUCAUCUGCUCCGUCCUAG